This 497-nucleotide ribosomal RNA is filed under the name uncultured bacterium. Its description in RNAcentral is "partial 16S ribosomal RNA". It matches the Rfam family "Bacterial small subunit ribosomal RNA", at positions 28 to 507 of the family's 1533-position model. The record is from RNAcentral.
GACGAACGCUGGCGGCGUGCCUAAUACAUGCAAGUAGAACGCUGAAGCGAUGCUCUUGCUCUUCUUGGAUGUGUUGCGAACGGGUGUGUAACGCGUAUGUAACCUGCCUGGUAGCGGGGGAUCACUAUUGGACUCGAUAUCUAAUACCGCAUAAAAUUGAUUUUUGCAUGAUAAUUAAUUUAAAGUUGCUACUGCAUCACUACCUGAUGGACCUUCGUUGUAUUGGCUAGUUGGUGAGGUAACGGCUCACCAAGGCGACGAUACAUAGCCGACCUGAGAGGGGGAGCGGCCAAACUGGGAAGGAGACAGGGCACAGAGGCCUACGGGAGGGAGCAGGAGGGAAUCGUGGGCAAUGGGGGGAACCGAGAACGAGAAACGCCGAGGGAGGGAAGAAGGAUGUCGGAUCGGAAAGCACUGUUGUAAGAGAAGAACGGGUGUGAGAGUGGAAAGAUCACAGUGUGACGGUAACUGACCAGAAAGGGACGGCUAACUACGUG